Molecule: ribosomal RNA, 253 nt
Filed under: uncultured bacterium
Lineage: Bacteria
Description: partial 16S ribosomal RNA
Rfam family: Bacterial small subunit ribosomal RNA
Source: RNAcentral
UACGAAGGGUGCUAGCGUUGUUCGGAUUUACUGGGCGUAAAGGGUCCGUAGGCGGUGUAGCGAGUCGAUAGUGAAAUCUCUGGGCUUAACCCAGAGGCUGCUAACGAAACUGCUGUGCUAGAGUGUGAGAGAGGCGAGUGGAAUUACGGGUGUAGCGGUGAAAUGCGUAGAUAUCCGGAGGAACAUCCGAGGCGAAGGCGGCUCGCUGGAUCACAACUGACGCUGAGGCACGAAAGCUAGGGGAGCAAACAGG